AAUCGGGGAAAUGUGAACGUUGACGAUGUUAAGGAAUCCGCCAAAGUAAUUGUCCGUGCUCUACUUAGAGCUUUUACAUGAUUAAAAGAAUCAGACAGCUCCACGAUCAAGUUUCAGAAGCUACUGGGGAGAGAGCUCCCAACUUUCUUCAUCGUCUCCAGGACAGGAAGUUUUCUGCAGGGAGACGGCACCUCCACUGCCAGCACGAGAAUCACCGCGCAUCACCAUCUUCAGCCGAUGGAGACCCAUUUCAAAGGUGGAUCUUGGGAGCUCCACCCGCUCCAAGCCAUUGCGCCUCUGAACGCCAAGCUCGGGACGACUUGUGGAUGGCGUGCGGCCAUGGAGACACCGCUGUUAGUGCAGAUGGAUUUGUGGUUCAGGGCAGUUGCAGUUGGUGAUGUGUUUACCUUUGAAGACGCAGCCUGCCUUCCCUGGGAUGGUUGUUGGCUGUCCUCUUCCAGGCCACACAGGAAGAAGGUGACAGUCCUAAUUGCCACCCCUCCCCCAACAUCCCCCCACCACCACCAGGAAGCCAGACGCUUGGUCCCCAUUGCCUGGGCGCUGCCUGAGAGGCACUGUUGGCUGCCACAACUUGUGUGAACCUUGGGGGUGACCUUGAGGGGGCAGGCAGGGAAAGGCAAGAAUCAGCAUGUUGGAGAGCUGGCCAGUGUCCUGGUUAAGGCUGGCUGGCUCAGGGUCCACCCUCAACGUGAACUUGGAGCUCUUUGAGGGCAAGGCCUAUGUCUGAAGCAUCCUGCACUCCCAGUGCCUCACUUGACAUGUGGCACAUAGUAGGUGUUCAUUUGGCACGGUGUAGGUGAUUGCUCCUGAGGAGACCAGCAACCAAGGAGCAUUUGGAGGCAACCAGGAAAACAGAUGUUAAGGACUGUCCUGGAACGUGCCCCUGGGCCACCCCCGUGAUUGCAUCAUCCUUUUGGUCCAUGGCGAAGCUCUGGGUCAAGCACAAAAAGCAGAAAUGUCCCUUGUGUUUUGUUGGCUACAAAAUCUGGCUCUCCUGCAAAAAGGGGGACAAAUUCUCUGUAUCUAUUUGUGCAGGAAUUUAUAGCCUUGGCGCUCUCUUCUAAAUGUCUUUGAAAGCUAGUAAGUUAGAAAUGUUCUUGGUGGGGAGACAAAGGGCUGGUCCCUAGGGUUGGCACUGCCCUAAAGAGCUGCCUUUCCUGGGAACCCAAGGCUGCAUCUAAAUGGGUUAACGUGGUGAAGACGUGGGCAGGUCGUUUAGGGUUGAGGAGAGAAAGGGAAGGCCCUUCCAGCUGCCUCUCUGUCUGUUCACUAGGGUCUUGCGGGCUCACACUGCCGUCUCUGGGCGGGAGGACAGCUGUUCGCUGGGUUUUUGGGCUGCUCUCUGGGAAUUUGAUGGCUGGAAUGUCGUUAACACUGGGUCUCAGGAGUACCUUCUCUAAGGACUGUCCCAAGACCAAACAGAAUAAGAAAUAAAAGAAACGGGUAGAGGAGCUGAAAUGGCCAACCAGGGGAAGGCUCCUGGGAGAACAAGGGACUGGGGGGCAGGGGACUCCGAGCUCAGCACUCCUAGGGAGCUGGCAAAGGCCUGUCCAAAGAAGCUGUUCCAGAGGCUUCUAGGAAAUUGCUUAAGAAACUAGGUCUGAAAGGAAAGCUGUAAAGUGCUUUAUGGUAUGUAAAGUCACCCCCCAGCCCCACUCCUCCUACGGAGGACACCAGUGGCCCUCCCCCUCAGAACAGCCACGCCAGCUCUUGUGAUGAGCACCAGCGAGCUUGUCCCCCUCCCGGGGGCUUGGGCCCCCGUCACCAAGCGUGUGAGAGACCCGGACAGUAGCUGUAGCAAACGUGCGCUUAGUGCUUCGCAUGCAGUGUCUCAUUUCAUCCUCCCACAAGCCUUGAAAUGGGAUGUUUCUAUCCUCAGGUUACCAAUGAAGAAACUGAAAGGCAGAGAGGUUAAGUAACUUGCCCAAGGUCAUGCCUCUAAGAAGUAGAGGCGCAAGGGUUCAAGUUAAGGUCUGCCCCAUGCCCUGUGCUUUGGAAAGUUCUAGUUUUCCCGUUGCAGGAUUUUUAAUUCCAUUUGCUGGAAUGGCUAGUCCAUUUUCUGUCCCUGUUACACGGUCAUCUUGCAAUAGUCCUUCCUGCUUCUACAGUCUCUUCUGUGGCCUGUCAAAGCGGCAAAAUGGUUUCUAAGAAAACAAGUCCUGUACGUACCGAGCGCUCCCCACCCCUAUUAAAGCCACGUUCAUGAGAAAUGCCCAGCUUUCUACUGGCAGUCACUGGAAUUUCUGCCGUGGGAAUUUGGGGGGAGAGUCUGAGUCCUGGCAGGCUCAAUCUGUGAUUAUGCCCUGCGUUCCUUAAGUCGAGUGUCAGGCAGAACAAAGCAGGAACAUCUUAUUUCUGCUCCACCCUGUCUGGACCGCAAACAGAGUGACCUGAACAGCUGGAUUUGGCUGAGCCUCAGUUCUGUCUGCCAGCCGGACUCCUCUCCCUGUCUCCCAGGGGCAUCCACUGAGAUGGGGCUGAAAUGGCCAGAAUGGCUCUUUCACUCCUGUCUCUGGUGCCUCUGUGUUCACCCACAUGGCAUCUCUCAGGAGAGGAGCCUGAUCUUACGGUGUUGCCCUGGGCUCCAGGAGCCCACUGUCUAAGCUCUUCUCCACUGCGCUGUACCUGUCCCAGCCCCCACCUCCCCUUCUGCGGGGAACAGCCUCAUUCAGCCCCCACUGCCAGGUGGCUGUGUUGUAUCAUGUGACCCUGUCUCCAUCCCCCGCCCCACAUGCAGGUCAUGGGACCAGGAUCCAUAUAGGGUGGCCCACACCUUUUGAAGUCACUUGGCUCAGACAUAAAGAAAGCCAGUCAGACCAGUCAGAUUCCCCUUUUAGGAAAUCUGAACCCCCAAAUCAGACAGGAUGGACAGCCUGUGACAAGCUGUCACAAGGGCAAGUAGGGCCUGGAUGAACCACUGUGCUGAACAGAAUGAUGGUGAAGGAUAAACUGGGAAAUUGAAGAAAAACAAAACAAGCGAUGGCAUGGAGAAAAUGCACUUACAGUUGGGGGAACAGUGAGCCUCUUUUGCAAAAAGAUAAAGGAGGGAAUGACCAGAGCAAAGCUGGGACUCCAUGAAAGGCAGAGAGAGAAGCCAGGCCUGGAGCCACCUGAUGCCGGGAGCUCCCCAGGCCCGCCUUGCCCCUGGGAGUCACUGCAGCCAGCCUGGUACUUACUCCCUUUGCUGUCUGUUGGCUUAGAAGAGGGCACGUGACUUAGUUCUGCCGACAAAACUUAGAGGGAAAUGGCUGGAGGACCUUCUGGGAAAAAUUUUGUUUUCUGAUUAAAAGAGAGAGAGGAAAGAGGCCUGUCCCUUCUUCCCACUUUGGACAUGGAUGUCUGAGAUAUGAUACUUGGAGCUGUAGCAGCCAUUUUAAGACCAAGAGGCAACAAGACCAAGGGAAAAAGCCAACAUACCAAGGUUGGCCGACCAGACAGACAAAAAAGCCUGGGUCUUUGAUGAUACUGUUGAGCCACUAUACCUAUCCUGGAACCACCUACUUCCAGUCUCUCUGAUCUAUAAAUUAAAUCCCUUUAUUUUCUAAGCAGAUUUCUGCUAUUUGCAGCCUGAGGCCUUCUUAACCAGGACAGCACUCCUCUGAACCUCUCCAUCAUCAACUCCUUCCAGCCUCGUGGCUCUUGGUAUACCUCCAAAUGGAGAACCAGCCCAAGUGCAGACACUGGAAAUCUUACUUACAUGGUAGGAAAUAAAAGUCAAGACUUGUCACAGCCUACACAGGCAAGAGCUCCAGCUCCUAGUUCCAACUCCUGAGGCCUCUGGGGCACCAGUGAGGGAAGAAAGAUUCAGGAAAGUUCCAGACGUAUGAGCGUGAGUCUUCAAAAAUGGGGCACAGUGAUGAAUUUUAAAACAAAUUAGUGGGGUAGGGGGGUGGGCAGUGCUGAUCCCUGGGAUGCAGAGCCUGAGCACAGGUAGCAAAGCCGUGGAAGAGCAGCACAUUGGCAGGGGCAAGUGGCGACUGGGUCGGGUGAAUUCUGGAGAAGGAGGCCAGUGUCCACAGCAGGAUUUGAUGAGCCCCAAGUACUAACUGGAAGGAGUUUAAGGCAGCUAGAACUAAACUGGUAGAAAACUAGGCCUUUUAAUUACUCUCCAGCCAGCCUUAGCAACAUUUUGUAUCCUCUUAGGAAUAAGGUGCCCUGAAUUGUGGCCAGUCCCCACUUUCUUCAUUGUUCAUGUCUUUUCUACCAAUCCCUUUUUCGCUACCAUUUCUUCCUGUCUUCUCUAAGCACAGCCAGGAGCCAGAAAUGCACAAGACCUGAUUCUCUUCUCCCUCAGUUGGAGGACGAAGGUAGUGGCCGGCAAGGAUGUCUUUUAGGAGACUUGGAAAUCUAGGCUAGGAUAAGGAGUUUGGUUGGGAGGAGAGAACUCAGUUGGUUGAUAAGGACUAGAUUAAGCUUUCUUCUCAUCCAGCUUUCAUCAAGCAGUGUGUUUUUUGUGUUGCUUCAACUCAAGAAAACGUGCCUGAUCCUUCCCUUGUGACAUGAGAAGUUGAACUCAAAAACUCUAGCCCUUCCUCUUUAAAUUUCUAGUUUUAGAUAUAAAACAGACAGAAACUGGCAUCCUCCUGAUGUAUCCUACAAAUACAAAUUAUCCCAUUACAUGCAGAACUUGAGAAAAAUCACCAGCCCAUUUCCCAUCUCAAAAUAGUCUUCAGCAGUAAAGAGAAGCAGCCCACAGAAGUUCCUCAAGUUAAUGGGGCCCGAACAUGGAUGAGUUGCAGUCAUAUUAGAAUUUGCAACCUCCAGAUCCUGCCAGUAAGCCUCCCCUGCCUCAGUGCAGUCUUUAUUUGCCCUCCUCGUUUUAGGGAGUCCUGCCCCCGAAGGCCAGAACCAGGCCGACUCUGCUGUUAGCCUGCUGUAUUACUUCAUUCAUUCAGCAGAAAUGUACCAGAUACCGAGUAGAAUGAGAAGUUAAGCUUAGAAAAGCAAGGCUAACGUGGGGAAGAUAAGUCACGAGAGACAAAAAAAAUUCUACAGAUAAACAAAGAAAUGAGCUUUGGUUCAACUGGAAGGAGCAAAACGUCUGAGCCCCUACUCAGUGCGAUUAAUAAACCCUGAAUCUCCUCCCCAAAACGCCCCGUGUAUCAGUAAGGAUUCUCUGCGAUCCAAUAAGGAAAAGAACUGCAGGCGUUUCCUCAUUCUCCAUAAUCAAAGUUUUUCUCCAGAAUGAAUUAGCCUGAUUACUGGCUAAAAGCUCUCCCGCAAUCUUUACAACGAGAGUGUUUCUUUCCUGUGCAUUCACCCAAGAUGAGAAGGAGCCCCGCUGUCCCCAAGUGAUUUUCCACAUUGGUUGUAUUCACAGGCUCCCCUCCAGCAUGAAUGAUCUGACGUUCAGUACGCCCCACGCUUCCCCUAGACAGCUACCCGCAUUCACCACGAAUGCCCGCGUUAAGUCCCGAAUGAAUUAGCUGACAUUGUCUGAGGCUGGAACUCUGAUUGAAGGUUCUUCCUCAUCCAUUACGCUCCCAGGGCUCCUAUCUGCUUUGAAAUCCCAGAUGUCUAAUUAGCACACUGAGCACUGUCUAAAAUCAUUUGCACAUCCAUUACGUGCAUAUGGUUUUUCUCCAGUGUGAAUUCUCUGACGCUGAAUGAGCUUUACUUUCCUGAAAGCCCUCACAUUUAUUGCAUUUGUAGAAUUCCCACUGCAUGUGAAUUGACUGAUGCCAUGUGGUGUCAGAAUGCUGACGGAUGCCUCCCACAAACCAGGACUGUCUCCAGGAUGAAGGUUACCAUGUUUGGUAGGAUGGGAGCCCUAGAAAAGUUGCCUGUAUUCAUAACAAAGAUGUUCUCUCUAUGAGUACUGUAAUAUUGAAUAAAUUCUGAAUUCAGUUCUAA
Long non-coding RNA from Vicugna pacos (alpaca), 5874 nucleotides. RefSeq lists it as uncharacterized. Lineage: Eukaryota; Metazoa; Chordata; Mammalia; Artiodactyla; Camelidae. The record is from RefSeq and is a predicted model, not a curated record.